UACGGAAGGCAGCAGUGGGGAAGUAUUGCACAAUGGGCGCAAGCCUGAUGCAGCCAUGCCGCGUGUAUGAAGAAGGCCUUCGGGUUGUAAAGUACUUUCAGUCGUGAGGAAGGUGUUAAGGUUAAUAACCUUAGCAAUUGACGUUAGCGACAGAAGAAGCACCGGCUAACUCCGUGCCAGCAGCCGCGGUAAUACGGAGGGUGCGAGCGUUAAUCGGAAUUACUGGGCGUAAAGGGCACGCAGGCGGUUAAUUAAGUUGGAUGUGAAAUCCCCGGGCUUAACCUGGGAAUGGCAUUCAAGACUGGUUAGCUAGAGUCUUGUAGAGGGGGUAGAAUUCCAUGUGUAGCGGUGAAAUGCGUAGAGAUGUGGAGGAAUACCGGUGGCGAAGGCGGCCCCUGGGACAAAGACUGACGCUCAUGUGCGAAAGCGUGGGGAGCAAAACAGGGAUUAGAUACC
Molecule: ribosomal RNA, 456 nt
Filed under: uncultured bacterium
Lineage: Bacteria
Description: bacterial SSU rRNA
Rfam family: Bacterial small subunit ribosomal RNA
Source: RNAcentral